GAUGAACGCUAGCGGGAGGCCUAACACAUGCAAGCCGGGCGGUAUUUAUUCUUCGGAAUAGAGAGAGCGGCGUACGGGUGCGGAACACGUGUGCAACCUGCCUUUAUCAGGGGGAUAGCCUUUCGGAAGGAAGAUUAAUACCCCAUAAUAUAUUGAUUGGCAUCAAUUGAUAUUGAAAACUCCGGUGGAUAAAGAUGGGCACGCGCAAGAUUAGAUAGUUGGUGAGGUAACGGCUCACCAAGUCGAUGAUCUUUAGGGGGCCUGAGAGGGUGAUCCCCCACACGGGUACUGAGACACGGACCAGACUCCUACGGGAGGCAGCAGUGAGGAAUAUUGGACAAUGGGUGAGAGCCUGAUCCAGGCAUCCCGCGUGAAGGACGACGGUUCUAUGGAUUGUAAACUUCUUUUAUAUAGGGAUAAACCUACUUACGUGUAAGUAGCUGAAGGUACUAUAUGAAUAAGCACCGGCUAACUCCGUGCCAGCAGCCGCAGUAA
Molecule: ribosomal RNA, 495 nt
Filed under: uncultured bacterium
Lineage: Bacteria
Description: partial 16S ribosomal RNA
Rfam family: Bacterial small subunit ribosomal RNA
Source: RNAcentral